CGGGGUGGAGUAAUGUCUGGGAAACUGCCUGAUGGAGGGGGAUAACUGCUGGAAACGGUAGCUAAUACCGCAUAACGUCGCAAGACCAAAGAGGGGGACCUUCGGGCCUCUUGCCAUCGGAUGUGCCCAGAUGGGAUUAGCUAGUAGGUGGGGUAACGGCUCACCUAGGCGACGAUCCCUAGCUGGUCUGAGAGGAUGGCCAGCCACACUGGAACUGAGACACGGUCCAG
RNAcentral lists this ribosomal RNA (230 nucleotides) under uncultured bacterium. RNAcentral's name for it is "partial 16S ribosomal RNA". It matches the Rfam family "Bacterial small subunit ribosomal RNA", at positions 104 to 334 of the family's 1533-position model. The record is from RNAcentral.